AUUGAACGCUGGCGGCAGGCCUAACACAUGCAAGUCGAGCGGAGCGGCGGUCGGGUGAGUAAUGCCUAGGAAUCUGCCUGGUAGUGGGGGAUAACGUCCGGAAACGGGCGCUAAUACCGCAUACUAUCAGAUGAGCCUAGGUCGGAUUAGCUAGUUGGUGGGGUAAAGGCCUACCAAGGCGACGAUCCGUAACUGGUCUGAGAGGAUGAUCAGUCAAACUGGAACUGGAAACGGGUCCAGAUUCCACCGGGAGGCAGACGUGGGGAAUUUUGGACAUUGGGCGAAAGCCUGAUCCAGCCAUGCCGGGGGUGUGAAGAAGGUCUUCGGAUUGUAAAGCACUUUAAGUUGGGAGGCGUUACCAACAGAAUAAGCACCGGCUAACUUCGUGCCAGCAGCCGCGGUAAUA
Molecule: ribosomal RNA, 406 nt
Filed under: uncultured bacterium
Lineage: Bacteria
Description: partial 16S ribosomal RNA
Rfam family: Bacterial small subunit ribosomal RNA
Source: RNAcentral